Molecule: ribosomal RNA, 352 nt
Filed under: uncultured soil bacterium
Lineage: Bacteria
Description: bacterial SSU rRNA
Rfam family: Bacterial small subunit ribosomal RNA
Source: RNAcentral
AGAGUGAACGCUGGCGGCAGGCCUAAUACAUGCAAGUCGAACGGCAGCACAGCAGAGCUUGCUCUGUGGGUGGCGAGUGGCGGACGGGUGAGGAAUACAUGGGAAUCUGCCCAGUCGUGGGGGAUAACGUAUGGAAACGUACGCUAAUACCGCAUGCGCCCGUUCGGGGGAAAGCCGGGGAUCGUUCGGACCUGGCGCGAUUGGAUGAGCCCAUGUCGGAUUAGCUAGGUUGGGGGGGUAAAGCCCACCGAAGGCGACGAUCCGUAGCUGGUCUGAGAGGAUGAUCAGCCACACUGGAACUGAGACACGGUCCAGACCUCCGACGGGAGCAGCAGUAGGAAUAGUGGACAAG